CUGUGAUUGUAUGAUUGUAUGAUUCUGUGACUUUGAAUCAUGCUAAAAAGAUGCUUUUGCUGCUUCUGAUCUGUUCUUCCUUUUUUUUUUUUUUUUUUUUUGGCUUCCUCCUCCCCCUUCUGUUUUCUCAUUGACUCAUAGAAAUCUGGAUGGAAUGUUAGCAAAUGAUUCUAAGGGAGCAAUCCCACACUGGGAAUUGUGCCAGAUGAUUGUCUAGUGUUCUCCAUCUGUUCCACCCCUCGUAAUGUAUUUCUCACUGACUGGUUUCAUUGACUCCCAGUAUAAGCUGAAGGAACGGCACGGAGAAGUACACUCCUUCAGAUGUUCUACACAAUUGCAAAUCAAUUGUUUAUUAUGCGUCCCUGGGCAGUUAAACUGAUCAAUAUCUCAGUUUCAUCUUUGUAUGUACAUUGCGGAAGAAAAUUUUCCUUUCCUCAUGUGAGUUGAAAGAACUGUUUGCUCUUUGUCAUUUCAUCCUCUCUGCUCUAGAGAGUGAGAGAAAAUUAUAGAGAAUGUUGACUAAAACCAUAAAGAUAUAUAAAGCCAACAUGACACCAACAACAUAGUUUAAAAUCCUUAAGAUGACAGCUCAUUUCUGAAAAUUCAGAAAUGCUUAAAUCUGCACACACGAUGAAGUGAAUAAAUGAAUGAGGUGAAAGAACUUUGGAAGGACCAAGUUGCUGAAGGAGAGAACUCUGAGAUCAUUUUGCACUGCAAAGGAAACAAUCCCUUGUCACCCCUUGCUUCCAGCAGAUGUCUGUCUUUCAAUUUCUGUUUAAUCUUUAAAUCUUUAAAAAUUGAAAAAUUGAUGAAAUUCUCUACGUUUCAAUCUGCCCUGAGAAGAUUUUCUUGAUUUUAAACCAAGACAGUAUGUUCUAACCAGCCUGAUGGUUCACAUGAAAUAUGAGACACGCGGGUCACAGUGUUGGAUUCCUCUCAUGGGAACAUAAGUUCUACUUUUGUUUCUAGAAUGUAUUUCGUUAACUCAUUU
This is a long non-coding RNA of Gallus gallus (chicken), 991 nucleotides long. Lineage: Eukaryota; Metazoa; Chordata; Aves; Galliformes; Phasianidae. The record is from Ensembl.